AAAUUGAAGAGUUUGAUCAUGGCUCAGAUUGAACGCUGGCGGCAGGCCUAACACAUGCAAGUCGAGCGGAAACGACACUAACAAUCCUUCGGGUGCGUUAAUGGGCGUCGAGCGGCGGACGGGUGAGUAAUGCCUAGGAAAUUGCCUUGAUGUGGGGGAUAACCAUUGGAAACGAUGGCUAAUACCGCAUGAUGCCUACGGGCCAAAGAGGGGGACCUUCGGCCAAAGAGGGGGACCUUCGG
Molecule: ribosomal RNA, 242 nt
Filed under: Vibrio cyclitrophicus
Lineage: Bacteria; Pseudomonadati; Pseudomonadota; Gammaproteobacteria; Vibrionales; Vibrionaceae
Description: partial 16S ribosomal RNA
Rfam family: Bacterial small subunit ribosomal RNA
Source: RNAcentral